Molecule: non-coding RNA, 65 nt
Organism: Dipodomys ordii (Ord's kangaroo rat)
Lineage: Eukaryota; Metazoa; Chordata; Mammalia; Rodentia; Heteromyidae
Source: Rfam
GGUGGCUCAGUGGUAGAGUGCUUGCCUUGCAUGCAUGAGGUCUUGGGUUCGAUUCCUCAGCACCA